UGGGGAAUAUUGGACAAUGGAGGAAACUCUGAUCCAGCAAUACUGUGUGUGUGAAGAAGGUUUUAGGACUGUAAAACACUUUUAGUAGGGAAGAAAAAAAUGACGGUACCUACAGAAGAAGCAACGGCUAAAUACGUGCCAGCAGCCGCGGUAAUACGUAUGUUGCGAGCGUUAUCCGGAAUUAUUGGGCUUAAAGGGCAUCUAGGCGGUAAGACAAGUUGAAGGUGAAAACCUGUGGCUCAACCAUAGGCUUGCCUACAAAACUGUUGAACUAGAGUACUGGAAAGGUGGGUGGAACUACACGAGUAGAGGUGAAAUUCGUAGAUAUGUGUAGGAAUGCCGAUGAUGAAGAUAACUCACUGGACAGAAACUGACGCUGAAGUGCGAAAGCUAGGGGAGCAAACAGG
This 407-nucleotide ribosomal RNA is filed under the name Verrucomicrobiota bacterium. Its description in RNAcentral is "Verrucomicrobia bacterium partial 16S ribosomal RNA". It matches the Rfam family "Bacterial small subunit ribosomal RNA", at positions 355 to 776 of the family's 1533-position model. Lineage: Bacteria; Pseudomonadati; Verrucomicrobiota. The record is from RNAcentral.